GUAAAAGCGAUGAUGAAAAAAGAGUAGUAAAGUAGCGUUUUAUAGAGAGCUGACGGUUGGUGGAAGUCGGUAAACGUACUUUAUGAAUGGACUUUCUAGCUGCACAGAGGAAAUGCUGUGCCGUAGCGCUCACGUUACGAGUUUUGAGUGGACUAAUUAAUUUAGUCAAUAAAGGUGGCACCACGGCUCUUUCGUCCUUUAA
Molecule: non-coding RNA, 202 nt
Filed under: Solibacillus silvestris
Lineage: Bacteria; Bacillati; Bacillota; Bacilli; Caryophanales; Caryophanaceae
Description: T-box sequence
Rfam family: T-box leader
About the family: Uncharged tRNA acts as the effector for transcription antitermination of genes in the T-box leader family. T-boxes are found upstream of many aminoacyl-tRNA synthetase genes and some amino acid biosynthetic genes usually in Gram-positive bacteria.
Source: RNAcentral